This 1424-nucleotide ribosomal RNA is filed under the name Staphylococcus aureus. Its description in RNAcentral is "bacterial SSU rRNA". It matches the Rfam family "Bacterial small subunit ribosomal RNA". Lineage: Bacteria; Bacillati; Bacillota; Bacilli; Caryophanales; Staphylococcaceae. The record is from RNAcentral.
UGCAAGUCGAGCGAACGGACGAGAAGCUUGCUUCUCUGAUGUUAGCGGCGGACGGGUGAGUAACACGUGGAUAACCUACCUAUAAGACUGGGAUAACUUCGGGAAACCGGAGCUAAUACCGGAUAAUAUUUUGAACCGCAUGGUUCAAAAGUGAAAGACGGUCUUGCUGUCACUUAUAGAUGGAUCCGCGCUGCAUUAGCUAGUUGGUAAGGUAACGGCUUACCAAGGCAACGAUGCAUAGCCGACCUGAGAGGGUGAUCGGCCACACUGGAACUGAGACACGGUCCAGACUCCUACGGGAGGCAGCAGUAGGGAAUCUUCCGCAAUGGGCGAAAGCCUGACGGAGCAACGCCGCGUGAGUGAUGAAGGUCUUCGGAUCGUAAAACUCUGUUAUUAGGGAAGAACAUAUGUGUAAGUAACUGUGCACAUCUUGACGGUACCUAAUCAGAAAGCCACGGCUAACUACGUGCCAGCAGCCGCGGUAAUACGUAGGUGGCAAGCGUUAUCCGGAAUUAUUGGGCGUAAAGCGCGCGUAGGCGGUUUUUUAAGUCUGAUGUGAAAGCCCACGGCUCAACCGUGGAGGGUCAUUGGAAACUGGAAAACUUGAGUGCAGAAGAGGAAAGUGGAAUUCCAUGUGUAGCGGUGAAAUGCGCAGAGAUAUGGAGGAACACCAGUGGCGAAGGCGACUUUCUGGUCUGUAACUGACGCUGAUGUGCGAAAGCGUGGGGAUCAAACAGGAUUAGAUACCCUGGUAGUCCACGCCGUAAACGAUGAGUGCUAAGUGUUAGGGGGUUUCCGCCCCUUAGUGCUGCAGCUAACGCAUUAAGCACUCCGCCUGGGGAGUACGACCGCAAGGUUGAAACUCAAAGGAAUUGACGGGGACCCGCACAAGCGGUGGAGCAUGUGGUUUAAUUCGAAGCAACGCGAAGAACCUUACCAAAUCUUGACAUCCUUUGACAACUCUAGAGAUAGAGCCUUCCCCUUCGGGGGACAAAGUGACAGGUGGUGCAUGGUUGUCGUCAGCUCGUGUCGUGAGAUGUUGGGUUAAGUCCCGCAACGAGCGCAACCCUUAAGCUUAGUUGCCAUCAUUAAGUUGGGCACUCUAAGUUGACUGCCGGUGACAAACCGGAGGAAGGUGGGGAUGACGUCAAAUCAUCAUGCCCCUUAUGAUUUGGGCUACACACGUGCUACAAUGGACAAUACAAAGGGCAGCGAAACCGCGAGGUCAAGCAAAUCCCAUAAAGUUGUUCUCAGUUCGGAUUGUAGUCUGCAACUCGACUACAUGAAGCUGGAAUCGCUAGUAAUCGUAGAUCAGCAUGCUACGGUGAAUACGUUCCCGGGUCUUGUACACACCGCCCGUCACACCACGAGAGUUUGUAACACCCGAAGCCGGUGGAGUAACCUUUUAGGAGCUAGCCGUCGAA